RNAcentral lists this ribosomal RNA (1962 nucleotides) under human gut metagenome. RNAcentral's name for it is "bacterial LSU rRNA". It matches the Rfam family "Bacterial large subunit ribosomal RNA", at positions 1 to 1977 of the family's 2925-position model. The record is from RNAcentral.
GUAAAUAAUUAAGGGCGUAUGGUGGAUGCCUAGGCUCUCAGAGGCGAAGAAGGACGUGAUAAGCUGCGAAAAGCUCCGUUUAGGUGCAAAUAACCUUUGAUGCGGAGAUCUCCGAAUGGGAUAACCCAAUAUGUUGAAGACAUAUUAUACCGUAAGGUAGGCAAACGCAGGGAACUGAAACAUCUAAGUACCUGCAGGAGAAGAAAACAAACGUGAUUCCCCCAGUAGCGGCGAGCGACCGGGGAAAAGCCCAAACCGUUAUUGUUUCGGCAUUAACGGGGUAGUAGGACUGCAAGCUUGAUGAAAUAAAUGAAAUGGAACACCUUGGAAAAUGUGAUCACAGAGGGUGAUAAUCCCGUACAUGCAAGUUUAUGAAUCAUAGCAGACUCCUGAGUAAGUCGGGACACGUGUAAUCCUGACCGAAUCCGCCGGGACCAUCCGGCAAGGCUAAAUACUCCUGAGAGACCGAUAGUGAACCAGUACCGUGAGGGAAAGGUGAAAAGCACUUCGAACAGAAGAGUGAAAUAGUCCCUGAAACCAUACGCCUACAAGCAGUCGGAGCCGCUUCGUGCGGUGACGGCGUGCCUUUUGCAUAAUGAGCCUACGAGUUACUCAUCACCAGCGAGGUUAAGUACUUCAGGUACGUAAGCCGAAGCGAAAGCGAGUCUGAAUAGGGCGUCAAGUUGGUGGUGGUAGACGCGAAACCUUAGUGAUCUACCCAUGGGCAGGGUGAAGGUUUGGUAACACAAACUGGAGGCCCGAACCGGUAAACGUUGAAAAGUUUUCGGAUGACCUGUGGGUAGGGGUGAAAGGCCAAUCAAACUGGGAAAUAGCUCGUACUCUCCGAAAUGCAUUUAGGUGCAGCCUCUGUUGUUUUGUUCUAGAGGUAGAGCUACUGAUUGGAUGCGAGGGCUUCACCGCCUAUCAAAUCCGGCCAAACUCCGAAUGCUAGAACAUGAAGACAGGGAGUGAGCCAGCGGGUGCUAAGGUCCGUUGACGAAAGAGGGAGAACUCAGACCAUCAGCUAAGGUCCCCAAUUAUAUGCUAAGUUGGAAUUAAAACGGGGUGGGACUGCUUAGACAGCUAGGAUGUUGGCUUGGAAGCAGCCAUUCAUUUAAAGAGUGCGUAACAGCUCACUAGUCGAGCGGUCCUGCAUGGAUAAUACGCGGGCAUAAGCAUAUAACCGAAGCUAUGGGAUUGUAGAUGAUACAAUCGGUAGGAGAGCAUUCCAUUCAGCGUAGAAGCAGUAUCGUGAGGUAUUGUGGAGCGGAUGGAAAAGCAAAUGUAGGCAUAAGUAACGAUAAUGCGGGUGAGAACCCCGCACGCCGAAAGAUCAAGGAUUCCCCGGCAAUGUCAAUCAUCCGGGGGUAAGUCGGAUCCUAAGGGUAAGCCGAGUGGCGAUCCCGAUGGCAAACAGGUUAAUAUUCCUGUACUGAUCAUAACUGCGAUGCAGCGACGCAGAGGUGACACUGCUGCGUACUGACGGAAUAGUACGUUGAAACCCGUAUUCUUUGAUACCGGUAGUGAAGCACGCCGGUAGAGAUGAAAGGUGAUAGUACCGCAAUGCUUCGGUUGCGCGGAUAACGCAGGUAAGCUGACUGCCAAGAAAACCUGCUAAGCUUCAGGUAAUGAUCAUCCGUACUGUAAACGGACACACGUGAUCAGGUAGAAAAUACUAAGGCGCUCGAGAGAUUCAUGGUUAAGGAACUAGGCAAAAUGGUCCUGUAACUUCGGGAUAAAGGACGCUCUUGUGAAAGAGCCGCAGAUAAUAGGCCCAGGCGACUGUUUACCAAAAACACAUGGCUAUGCUAAUUCGCAAGAAGAUGUAUAUGGCCUGACACCUGCCCGGUGCCGGAAGGUUAAGAGGAGAGCUCAGAGGUAACUCGAAGGUUUGAAUUGAAGCCCCGGUAAACGGCGGCCGUAACUAUAACGGUCCUAAGGUAGCGAAAUUCCUUGUCGGGU